RNAcentral lists this ribosomal RNA (212 nucleotides) under Escherichia coli. RNAcentral's name for it is "partial 23S ribosomal RNA". It matches the Rfam family "Bacterial large subunit ribosomal RNA", at positions 1135 to 1346 of the family's 2925-position model. The record is from RNAcentral. Lineage: Bacteria; Pseudomonadati; Pseudomonadota; Gammaproteobacteria; Enterobacterales; Enterobacteriaceae.
UAAUAGCUCACUGGUCGAGUCGGCCUGCGCGGAAGAUGUAACGGGGCUAAACCAUGCACCGAAGCUGCGGCAGCGACACUAUGUGUUGUUGGGUAGGGGAGCGUUCUGUAAGCCUGUGAAGGUGUGCUGUGAGGUAUGCUGGAGGUAUCAGAAGUGCGAAUGCUGACAUAAGUAACGAUAAAGCGGGUGAAAAGCCCGCUCGCCGGAAGACC